This 436-nucleotide ribosomal RNA is filed under the name uncultured bacterium. RNAcentral's name for it is "bacterial SSU rRNA". It matches the Rfam family "Bacterial small subunit ribosomal RNA", at positions 8 to 450 of the family's 1533-position model. The record is from RNAcentral.
AGAGUUUGAUCCUGGCUCAGGACGAACGCUGGCGGCGUGCCUAGUACAUGCAAGUCGAGCGGACCUUUCGGGGUCAGCGGCGGACGGGUGGGUAACACGUGGGCAAUCUGCCCGAUACUCUGGGAUAACGCUUGGAAACGAGUGCUAAUACCGGAUGGUCUUCUUGGUCGCAUGGCCGAGAAGGAAAAGACGCGUUCGCGUCGGUGUCGGAUGAGCCCGCGGCGCAUUAGCUAGUUGGUGAGGUAACGGCCCACCAAGGCGACGAUGCGUAGCCGACCUGAGAGGGUGACCGGCCACACUGGGACUGAGACACGGCCCAGACUCCUACGGGAGGCAGCAGUAGGGAAUCUUCCACAAUGGGCGAAAGCCUGAUGGAGCAACGCCGCGUGAGUGAUGAAGGCCUUCGGGUUGUAAAACUCUGUCAUUCGGGACGAAC